CACCGCCAUUACCACCACAGCCACCGAAAUCUGAACGCACCUACUGCUACUACUACUACCGCCUUCAACGCCUCCGCAAUUUGUUCCCACAUCUCUGCUGUUUGGCGGUCGCAUUCUGCGUCGGAGUAUAUUUUUUGUGUGUUUUUUUCAGGUGCGAAGGCGGAUAGGGCUGGAGAUAAAUGUCUGCUGUGAGAUGAAGCAGAGGAGUUCGUUUACCUGCGUUUUGUGGCGGUGCUCGGUGAGCGUUUUGUUGGUGUUCGCUUUGUUUUUGCUGGUUCUGCGCUCGGCUGAUGCUACGCAGUUCCAAAUCGGGAGCAAUGGCAGACCGCUGACGGAAGCCGAAGUGAAAUACAUCACGAAAAGGCAGCUGCUGUACUAUCUGGAUGAGUUUGGGGACAGAGGAGAGAAUCAUUGAGCGGCGCAACAAAAGAUCUUUUGGAAGAAAACAAUCAGGCUUUUGGUAAGAUUUCAGCAAAUCUUACGACCCUCGAGGUAAACCUCGAACUCUAUUGUCCUCGAAAAAUUUGUACCAUACUUAUGGUUAGCUUAAUUUGGUCAUGAUUAUAGAUCAAGCAUAUCAUAUGCUGUUUCGGGGCAGGGAAAGAACACGGUGCAUAUAUCUUUCAUAACAAAUAUCUACACAAUACAUUGUUACAUAGUAGAGCAAUACAAUUUUCUUAAUUGUUAUAAAAGGUUAUUUUUUGGAAUGUUUUGAGUUUCGACUAGAUCUAUAACCAGGUCUGAAAAUGUUGAUUUAUAUUCCUAGCAUUUGGAUGUAUCGAAUACUAGCCGUAGUUGUAAAUGUGGUUUAUCUUACCGAUCUAAAUUCUUCUCUGAAUGCACUCCAUACUUUACAUUAACACGUCUCUGAAUAUGGAAUGGUUAUCUGAUAAAUGAAAUGUCAUUUUCUAAGACAGAUGAACAACAUUAGUGGGUACGUUCCUGGGCGGAUAGUAUUCUUCCUGGUAUGUAUGUAUGUAUCAUAAUGAGAAGGAGGAUGAGGAUGAGGUUGCAGUGGGGGAGCAUAUACUCAUUCAUUCCUUCAGCUGCAACUCCAUGUUGACAGCUUGCUAGCUAGGCGGGUAGUUUGUUGUGAAAAACCAGUUACAUUAUUUGGUUGUAUUAGUUCCCUCUUUUUUCUUGUUGCCAUAGAUUAAACAAACCCCUCGGCUUUUUAAUCUUUAAUGUUAUUAUUUACUGGUUGUGUUUCUAGUUAAGUUUCAAUGAAUUUAUUUUAUGUUAUGAGGGUUCAUAGUGUGAGCAGUCCUUGCCACUUUUCAUUAUUUAUUAACAAAUGUUAGUUUCUCUUUGAAUAUGUCAGAUCAAUGAGGUUAAAAGUAACUCCAUAUUGUCUGAAUUACCCAUGACUUCAUUUUGUAAUUUAGCUGUUUCUGUAGAGCUAUACACAGUACAUCCCGCUACAAAUCAUUGAUCUCGAUUCCUGGUUGAAGACCCCCUCAAUAUAUGUUUUUGAUUGCUCUGCUGCUGGAUUUAUUGUGAAUGCCUUCAUUGAGCUCCAGGAAAAUAGUACCUCAAGUUCUGGAUCUUCCAUGAGGAACUGUAUUUUGCUAGCAGCCUGUGAAGCUCAUGAGACGCUACCACAAAGUGCUGAGUUUCCUGCUGAUGUGUUUACUUCCUGCCUUACAACACACAUAAAAAUGGCACUAAGAUGAUAGAAUUCCUGGCCGCCAAACAGACAGGAAGACCCUUCUUGGGGAAUUGAACUGGAUAUUCACAGCUGUGACUGAUACUAUUGCAUGGAAUGUACUUCCUCAUGAUUUAUUCCAGAGAUUGUUCAGGCAAGAUCUUUUGGUUGCCAGCCUGUUUGGAAUUUUUUUGCUUGCUGAAAGGAUAAUGCGGUCUGCAAAUUGUUCGCCAGUUUCACAUCCAAUGUUACCACCAACCCAUCAGCACCAUAUGUGGGAUGCAUGGGACAUGGCAACUGAAAUAUGCCUUUCUCAGCUUCCAACAUUAGUUGAGGACCCAGAGGCCGAGUUCCAGGUGACACUGUUGACAUAGUAAAGGUUUUUGUUACAUCUGCUACUGUUCCGGAGGCUGCGCUUAUUCUACGGACAAUCUCCGGGGCACAAACACUGGGUGAGGUUGUCCGCGCCGAGCCAAUCGACUGGACAUUUAAAGAUUUUGUUCAUCGCCCGUAACUACGGUGUACGACCACUUUGACUGUGCAUGGGGCAUUGCAGCAUGGCACGUGAUUCUAUGAUGAUUGACGUUUGUUUGUUGAUUGAUGCUAACCGAGUCCUUUAUGUUGGUUGAACUUGCUGUCUCUGCUACAUUUUGUGUGUUUGCUACAUUUUGUGUGUUUGUUGCUACGCUUUGCCAUAUAUGUUAGGUUAUAUUGCGAAAUAUUUAUAUUUCUA
This is a long non-coding RNA of Andrographis paniculata, 2378 nucleotides long. RefSeq lists it as uncharacterized. The transcript is spliced from 8 exons. NCBI's taxonomy places the organism in Eukaryota, Viridiplantae, Streptophyta, Magnoliopsida, Lamiales, Acanthaceae. The record is from RefSeq and is a predicted model, not a curated record.